UAUACCAAAAUUCAAACGAACUCUAAAAUUAAACAAAAAAAUGAAAUGCACCUCAACAUCACCACCGCAAGAUGAAAUGCACCACAACAGAUUAAUAAUAAUAAAUUGAAAAUCACAAUCUAACUCAAAGUUUUUGAUAUGAUAUGAUAUUAAAAAAUUAAACUGAUGUUGUCAUCUAUAUACAUAUAGUGUUUUCUCAAAUAUUUUGUAGAGAACAUCAUUUACAUUUAGAGUUAUGAAUUCAUCUGCUAUGAAAUUCUACACCAUUUUCAUGUUCUUCUCUCUUGUCAUCAUUCUUCUUAUUUCCACAUGUGAGUCAAUGGGAAUAUUUCAACGUCGUUGUAGAAUGACAAGUCAUGCAUGGGAAGGAAAGCGUUGUCAUUUUGAUAUCUUGAGUAACUCAAAAUGUAAUUCAAUAUGCGUCAACCUGGAGCAUGCAAUGUCUGGUGCUUGUGAAUAUAAUCCUCGUUCUUACUCAGUUACUACAACUUGUUACUGCAACUACAAUUGCAGCAAAUACAGAACUUGGUAAUUAGUUUAAAUUAAAAGAAGUCGAAAGUUGAACCAAACUACUUAUUAAUCAACUUUCGGCUUCUUUUAUGUUGGUGGA
Trifolium pratense (red clover) is the source of this 610-nucleotide long non-coding RNA. RefSeq lists it as uncharacterized. The record is from RefSeq and is a predicted model, not a curated record. Lineage: Eukaryota; Viridiplantae; Streptophyta; Magnoliopsida; Fabales; Fabaceae. The transcript has 2 exons.